GUUAUGAGGCUAGCAGCUGGUACCACACUAGCCAAGGGUUAUGAGGCUAGCAGCUGGUGCCACACUAGUAAAGGGUUAUGAGGCUAGCAGCUGGUACCACACUAGCCAAGGGUUAUGAGGCUAGCAGCUGGUACCACACUAGCCAAGGGAUAUGAGGCUAGUAGCUGGUACCACACUAGCCAAGGGUUAUGAGGCUAGCAGCUGGUGCCACACUAGCCAAGGGUUAUGAGGCUAGCAGCUGGUUAUGAGGCUAGCAGCUGGUACCACACUAGCCAAGGGAUAUGAGGCUAGCAGCUGGUUAUGAGGCUAGCAGCUGGUUAUGAGGCUAGCAGCUGGUUAUGAGGCUAGCAGCUGGUGCCACACUAGCCAAGGGUUAUGAGGCUAGCAGCUGGUGCCACACUAGCCAAGGGUUAUGAGGCUAGCAGCUGGUGCCACACUAGUAAAGGGAUAUGAGGCUAGUAGCUGGUACCACACUAGCCAAGGGUUAUGAGGCUAGCAGCUGGUACCACACUAGCCAAGGGUUAUGAGGCUAGCAGCUGGUACCACACUAGCCAAGGGUUAUGAGGCUAGCAGCUGGUACCACACUAGCCAAGGGUUAUGAGGCUAGCAGCUGGUGCCACACUAGCC
This 627-nucleotide long non-coding RNA is filed under the name Salmo salar (Atlantic salmon). RNAcentral describes it as "lncRNA (ENSSSAG00000084109.1)". The record is from RNAcentral. Lineage: Eukaryota; Metazoa; Chordata; Actinopteri; Salmoniformes; Salmonidae.